UACGUAGGUGGCGAGCGUUGUCCGGAAUUACUGGGUGUAAAGGGCGUGUAGGCGGGAUUGCAAGUCAGAUGUGAAAUUCCAGGGCUUAACUCUGGAGCUGCAUCUGAAACUGUGAUUCUUGAGUGAUGGAGAGGAAAGUGGUAUUCCUAGUGUAGCGGUGAAAUGCGUAGAUAUUAGGAGGAACACCAGUGGCGAAGGCGACUUUCUGGACAUUAACUGACGCUGAGGCGCGAAAAGCGUGGGGAGCAAACAGGG
RNAcentral lists this ribosomal RNA (255 nucleotides) under uncultured bacterium. RNAcentral describes it as "partial 16S ribosomal RNA". It matches the Rfam family "Bacterial small subunit ribosomal RNA", at positions 524 to 777 of the family's 1533-position model. The record is from RNAcentral.